UACGUAGGGUGCAAGCGUUUAAUCGGAAUUACUGGGCGUAAAGGGCGCGUAGGCGGUGUGUCAAGUCAGGCGUGAAAGCCCCGGGCUCAACCUGGGAACCGCGCUUGAGACUGGCACGCUCGAGUUCGGGAGAGGAUGGUGGAAUUCCCAGUGUAGAGGUGAAAUUCGUAGAUAUUGGGGAAGAACACCGAUGGCGAAGGCAGCCAUCUGGACCGACACUGACGCUGAGGCGCGAAAGCGUGGGGAGCAAACAGG
RNAcentral lists this ribosomal RNA (255 nucleotides) under uncultured bacterium. RNAcentral describes it as "partial 16S ribosomal RNA". It matches the Rfam family "Bacterial small subunit ribosomal RNA", at positions 524 to 776 of the family's 1533-position model. The record is from RNAcentral.